Molecule: long non-coding RNA, 1362 nt
Organism: Cervus elaphus (red deer)
Lineage: Eukaryota; Metazoa; Chordata; Mammalia; Artiodactyla; Cervidae
Exons: 5
Source: RefSeq, a predicted model, not a curated record
GGGAGUCGUCGAGGCUGUCACAGCGGUGGAUCCUGAGCAUUUAUUGACCACCUCUACAUCCCAGGCACCAUUGCAUUGAUGGCAAGUCCCUGUCCUGGAGGAUCUUCCAUCCUAGUAGGCCCCAAACAUUUUGUGGGACAUUACAAAACUCACAUCCUCUGUGCCCAUGACUCUUCGUGAUUCCAGCAACCGUGGCUGAGGGGCCAGGCUCGCUGGCACCGUGAUGCGAGAGGAAGGACGAAAGAGGAUAAGUGAGGAAGAUGAGAACCGGGCGAGCCCUCUUACACUCUGCUCGUUCCACUUAGCUCACUGAUGGUAACUGCCCAAACGCUACUCUGUGAGGACUCAAGGAUACUCUCUUCCCAAAGCAAGCUUUUGGCUUUUUAAAGGCGUCUGGAUUUGUGAACCUCUGCGUGUCCCCUUGGGGCCCACUGCCCAUCCCGUGUGGUGCAACCUCACCCAGACUUCACGCCAAGCCACACCAGAGCUCAGCCUGACAAGCCCGCAGCCGAGCCUUCCUCUGAUCCUCGGGAAACAGCUCACCUGAACCUUGAGGACAACUCCGGUGUUUGUGCUGCUUCCGUGAGUCGCGUGACUGAUCCGCCACCCAAGGUGCAGGUGCGCCGUGUAUCUGCCUGCAAAUCCGCCUGUCCUCCCCGGCUCUGUCCCCGGAAGGUCCUGUCAGCACAGAUGAGUCCUUUCCUACUGGAGCCCCACGUCCACUCCUUGACUUUGAAGCACAGGCAGCCUCCCCAGGCCUAGCGAUACCCCAGGAUUCUGGUGGGUGAAAUUCCCUAAAUCGGCCUCCUGAAACCGCUCCUUUUAGACAAACCUCCAUCCUCAUUCAGAACAUCCUGCUUUUCUCCCAGCUGUCUUCAUCUGUUCUUCCUCCUAAAAGCCACAUUUCAUCAAAAUUUCACACACUACUCUCUUCUCCCAUGUUCUCAUCCUAAAACUGCUAAAGAAAAAUAUUUCACCCUUCCGUUUUAAUGUUUAAUGUACAAGUAGCAUUCUUUCCUCCUAUCAUUAACAUAUUUAAAAAUCCAGUUUUAUGCUUUUCACUGCAUCUCAUUGCUCUGGGGUGCCCAGCACCAUGGAGUAUAAGGCUGGCUUGUGAUCUGCUCCACAGUUCUGCUCCGCACAAAAGAUGUUCGAGACUUCAGAAGAGCAUAAAAAUUAAUUUUUCUUCCUUUGCAUUGAGUCCUUGGAUAUGUUUUGUACACACCUGUGUUAGUAUAGGGCCUCCCUUGUGGCUCAGCUGGUAAAGAAUCCACCUGCAAUGCAGGAGACCUGGGUUUGAUCCUUGGGUUGGGAAGAUUCCCCUGGAGAAGGAAAUGGCUCCCCACUCCAGUAUUCUGGCCU